RNAcentral lists this unclassified non-coding RNA (221 nucleotides) under Hevea brasiliensis (rubber tree). Lineage: Eukaryota; Viridiplantae; Streptophyta; Magnoliopsida; Malpighiales; Euphorbiaceae. The record is from RNAcentral.
GUCCGUUUUACAACUGUAUGGCUGGCAAAAAAAAAUUGUUACAAAAGCAGGAGACAAUAUUCGUUCACACAAAAGUGUUUACAUUUAUGUACACAUGUUUUUGAUUUUGGUUGAUAUUCCUUCGCAUAUAUCACCAGAUGCGAUAAUCAUUGCUUCUAGUAUGCUGAUUAUAUAAGUGAAGCUAGAAAUCUGCUGACUAUUUAAGAAGUCCAAAUACCUUG